RNAcentral lists this long non-coding RNA (573 nucleotides) under Salmo salar (Atlantic salmon). RNAcentral's name for it is "lncRNA (ENSSSAG00000089148.1)". Lineage: Eukaryota; Metazoa; Chordata; Actinopteri; Salmoniformes; Salmonidae. The record is from RNAcentral.
GUACGGUGGGAAUCGAAAUGGUCGGUAAUCUGUUUGUUAAUUUGGCUUUUGAAGACCAUACUAAACGGUGUGACGGCGUAGAAGAACAAACCCUUACUAUUACAGAAAGAAGCAACAAUGCUAGGGUAGGAUAGAUAUAGGUCUGUUGCAGUUUUGGUCUAGAGUGUCUCCCCCUUUGAAGAGGAGGAUGAGUUGCCCAUGACCAGCUCGGAAACCAUAUUGCAUAGCGGAGAAGGCACAUGGAGGCAGCAGCUGUACGGCAGUGGACGGGGUCGUAAAAGCGAGGGCCGAAAGAGGAAGUAAGGGGGACCUUCUGAGUUAUUACCCUCCAACGUACACACGGGGGCCUGGGAACUGUCCUCUUCUCACAGAGGACCACGGUGCAGCGUGGAGCAGGGCUGUUCUCCGGGCCUGCUUCCCCCAUCACCCUCUGUGUACUUUACCACCCCAUCACAAGUCCACAGCCGUCAUAAUGAGACAUGAGAGUAUACAGUAUGGACAACAAGACACCGUUUGCUCCAUAAUAAAACCAUUUGCUUACCAUUGCUUUACAACAGAUUUGUUCCCACCAUG